This 776-nucleotide long non-coding RNA is filed under the name Sinocyclocheilus grahami. Its description in RNAcentral is "lncRNA (ENSSGRG00000033323.1)". The record is from RNAcentral. Lineage: Eukaryota; Metazoa; Chordata; Actinopteri; Cypriniformes; Cyprinidae.
GUGUUGUUUUACAUUUUUUACAUCAGUAUUAUUAAUUCAUGUCAGAAAAUUUAUUAAAUACAUGUACAUGUGAGUGUGUGUGUGCGUGAGUGUGUGUGUGAGUGAGUGUUGGUUUAUAUAUAUCCUGGUGGGGACUUAAACCUGACUACACACAGACUCAUGGGGACUCGUGUCACGGUGGGGACCUAAAUUGUGGUCCCCACGGGUACAAAAGCUUAUAAAUCAUACAGAAUUAAGGUUUUUGAAAAUCUAAAAAUGCAGAAAGUCUCCUGUGAGUGGAAGGUUUAGGGGUAGGGUUGGUGUAGGGCAAUAGAAUGUACAGUAUAAAAACCAUUACGCCCAUAGAGAGUCCCCACAAGGAUAGCUGACCAGACAUGUGUGUGUGUUUUAAGCGCAGCAGGAAGUGGCUGGUGUGCUAAGUCACAUGUCGACACCAUGAGGACAAGGAGCAACCUUGUGCUUUUGAACUCCAGGUGAGCAGCCCUGCGGUAAAAAUUCAGUAAAGGGCUGCAACCGCAACAUGGACGGGGUCACAUGACACCUGGGUCUAUGUUCACAGAAGAGUGAUCCUUUCCAGUGGUGGUAAAUUACCCAGCAUUCACGGACUAGUGGUGUGCGAGGUGAGUUUUACUAACACUGACUCUCAGUGACAAACUCGAUUUGUUUUGACUUGAUUCAUAUUUUGCUGCUUUGUAAUGAUUUGUAUGGUACAUAAAUUUGAGUUCAAUAAGGCAAAUGUAAAUAUUUGAAAAUGCUCAUAAUCGGUUACUUUUAAA